RNAcentral lists this transfer RNA (73 nucleotides) under Ipomoea nil (Japanese morning glory). It matches the Rfam family "tRNA". Rfam says of the family: Transfer RNA (tRNA) molecules are approximately 80 nucleotides in length. Their secondary structure includes four short double-helical elements and three loops (D, anti-codon, and T loops). Further hydrogen bonds mediate the characteristic L-shaped molecular structure. tRNAs have two regions of fundamental functional importance: the anti-codon, which is responsible for specific mRNA codon recognition, and the 3' end, to which the tRNAs corresponding amino acid is attached (by aminoacyl-tRNA synthetases). tRNAs cope with the degeneracy of the genetic code in two manners: having more than one tRNA (with a specific anti-codon) for a particular amino acid; and 'wobble' base-pairing, i.e. permitting non-standard base-pairing at the 3rd anti-codon position. The record is from Rfam by way of RNAcentral. Lineage: Eukaryota; Viridiplantae; Streptophyta; Magnoliopsida; Solanales; Convolvulaceae.
GCUUAUCUAGCUUAGUUGGUAGAGUGUAAAACUUUUAACCUUGUGGUUAUGGGAUUGAGCCCCACGGUGGGCA